GACGAACGCUGGCGGCGUGCUUAACACAUGCAAGUCGAACGGAAAGGCCUCAGCUUGCUGGGGUACUCGAGUGGCGAACGGGUGAGUAACACGUGGGUGAUCUGCCUUGCACUCUGGGAUAAGCUUGGGAAACUGGGUCUAAUACCGGAUAUGAACUGCCUUUAGUGUGGUGGUUGGAAAGUUUUUUCGGUGCAAGAUGAGCUCGCGGCCUAUCAGCUUGUUGGCGGGGUAAUGGCCUACCAAGGCGUCGACGGGUAGCCGGCCUGAGAGGGUGUACGGCCACAUUGGGACUGAGAUACGGCCCAGACUCCUACGGGAGGCAGCAGUGGGGAAUAUUGCACAAUGGGCGGAAGCCUGAUGCAGCGACGCCGCGUGGGGGAUGACGGCCUUCGGGUUGUAAACUCCUUUCGACAGGGACGAAGCUUUUUGUGACGGUACCUGUAUAAGAAGCACCGGCUAACUACGUG
Molecule: ribosomal RNA, 467 nt
Filed under: uncultured bacterium
Lineage: Bacteria
Description: partial 16S ribosomal RNA
Rfam family: Bacterial small subunit ribosomal RNA
Source: RNAcentral